UCUAUGAAGAAACGAAUCCAGGAGAAUAAAAGAGACAUAGCAAAUAAAACAAAAACUACAGCAUUAGCACAACAUGCAAGUACAUCAGACUUGGACAUGAAAUGGUGCAGGAGUAAAUUAGUAUGCAGAGAGCGUGACCUGAAGAGAGGGAGGAUUGCGGUAGCAAUGACUAUAUAUACUAAUCGUAAUAAGCAGUGUGGGCCAGUUAAUGAAUUGGACCCUGCCGUGGUGAGCAGCGCAUGGAAGUGGUGUAGUACCUAUAGAUAUUGAGUGGCAUAGACCCAGGGACCUCGUAGCGGCGAAUAAUACGUU
Molecule: long non-coding RNA, 312 nt
Filed under: Androctonus crassicauda
Lineage: Eukaryota; Metazoa; Arthropoda; Arachnida; Scorpiones; Buthidae
Source: RNAcentral